GUGGGGAAUCUUCCGCAAUGGACGAAAGUCUGACGGAGCAACGCCGCGUGAGUGAAGAAGGUUUUCGGAUCGUAAAGCUCUUUCGUUAGGGACGAACGUGCUCUUUGUGAAUAAUGAGGAGUAAUGACGGUACCUAAAUAAGAAGCCACGGCUAACUACGUGCCAGCAGCCGCGGUAACACGUAGGAGACAAGCGUUAUCCGGAUUUAUUGGGCGUAAAGGGCAUGUAGGCGGGCUCUUAAGUCGGAUGUGAAAUCUCUUGGCUUAACCGGGAGGGGUCAUUCGAUACUGGGAGUCUUGAGGGCAGGAGAGGGAAGCAGAAUUCCCGGUGUAGUGGUGGAAUACGUAGAUAUCGGGAGGAAUACCAGUGGCGAAAGCGGCUUCCUGGCCUGUGCCUGACGCUGAUAUGCGAAAGCGUGGGUAGCAAACGGGAUUAGAUACCCGGGUAGUCC
This 451-nucleotide ribosomal RNA is filed under the name uncultured bacterium. RNAcentral's name for it is "partial 16S ribosomal RNA". It matches the Rfam family "Bacterial small subunit ribosomal RNA", at positions 354 to 796 of the family's 1533-position model. The record is from RNAcentral.